This 510-nucleotide ribosomal RNA is filed under the name Triticum aestivum (bread wheat). RNAcentral describes it as "partial small subunit ribosomal RNA". The record is from RNAcentral. Lineage: Eukaryota; Viridiplantae; Streptophyta; Magnoliopsida; Poales; Poaceae.
AUGGAUCGUGGCAAGUUUAAUCCAAGUACCAUGGCAAAUUCAUACUUGAUAACAUGGCAAAAAACAAUUACAAGUGUAAACCUUUUGGUAGCUAAGUUUUCCAUGAUAGAUAGAGCAUUUUCCAUCAAACAUUGCUAUGGCCCAUGGGAAAAACUUUUAAACCUGCACGGUUUCUCAUUUAAUAUCAUGCCAUUUUCUCGUGUAUAUGUCGUUUUUCUGUUUUUACUUCCUGUUGGUUGUGUGCAAGGAAAAUGCAAGUACAUUUGUGUAUUGAAAUAUGAUGAAGUUAAGGAUUUUGUAUCCAUUGACAUGGCAUUGCUCAGAAUAUUUGUGUACAUGCCCGAUGACAAUUUUUGUACAAAUCUUUUUUGUUCUAUCUUAUAUGGCCAUUUUUUUUCCAUUAUAUCAUGGCAAAUUUUCCACACUCAUUUUUGUCAUGAAGUGUGCAUGAACAUCACAGCAAAUCAUGAAAGUUUCUAUAAUAUACCUUUUUUCAUGAUUAUAUGGUAG